This 74-nucleotide transfer RNA is filed under the name Candidatus Altimarinota bacterium. Its description in RNAcentral is "tRNA-Trp". It matches the Rfam family "tRNA". Rfam says of the family: Transfer RNA (tRNA) molecules are approximately 80 nucleotides in length. Their secondary structure includes four short double-helical elements and three loops (D, anti-codon, and T loops). Further hydrogen bonds mediate the characteristic L-shaped molecular structure. tRNAs have two regions of fundamental functional importance: the anti-codon, which is responsible for specific mRNA codon recognition, and the 3' end, to which the tRNAs corresponding amino acid is attached (by aminoacyl-tRNA synthetases). tRNAs cope with the degeneracy of the genetic code in two manners: having more than one tRNA (with a specific anti-codon) for a particular amino acid; and 'wobble' base-pairing, i.e. permitting non-standard base-pairing at the 3rd anti-codon position. Lineage: Bacteria; Candidatus Altimarinota. The record is from RNAcentral.
AGGAGCCUCGUAUAAUGGUAGUACAACGGUCUCCAAAACCGUUAGCAUGGAUUCGAUUCCCCUGGCUCCUGCCA